RNAcentral lists this ribosomal RNA (498 nucleotides) under uncultured bacterium. RNAcentral describes it as "partial 16S ribosomal RNA". It matches the Rfam family "Bacterial small subunit ribosomal RNA", at positions 29 to 523 of the family's 1533-position model. The record is from RNAcentral.
AUUGAACGCUGGGGGCAUGCUUUACACAUGCAAGACGAACGGUAACAGGCCGCAAGGUGCUGACGAGUGGCGAACGGGUGAGUAAUGCAUCGGAACGUGCCCAGUCGUGGGGGAUAACGCAGCGAAAGCUGCGCUAAUACCGCAUACGAUCUAUGGAUGAAAGCGGGGGACCGUAAGGCCUCGCGCGAUUGGAGCGGCCGAUGUCAGAUUAGGUAGUUGGUGGGGUAAAGGCUCACCAAGCCAACGAUCUGUAGCUGGUCUGAGAGGACGACCAGCCACACUGGGACUGAGACACGGCCCAGACUCCUACGGGAGGCAGCAGUGGGGAAUUUUGGACAAUGGGCGCAAGCCUGAUCCAGCAAUGCCGCGUGCAGGAAGAAGGCCUUCGGGUUGUAAACUGCUUUUGUACGGAACGAAACGGCUCUGGUUAAUACCUGGGGCUCAUGACGGUACCGUAAGAAUAAGCACCGGCUAACUACGUGCCAGCAGCCGCGGUAA